GUGACAUGGGGUGUUUUCCUGUAGAAGAAUCUGGCAUGGCUUACUUUUGUUUCUCUUUGAUACAUCCAGAUGCCUGACCUGGAAAUUGUUGGAAGACUUUUUAAAAUCCAAAGGCCAAAGAUAUUUAUGGAUUGAGUGGGGAAAAAAAACAACAACGCAGUACUUCUGACUUGUCCCUUAAUUGAACAUAGCGCUCUGCCAGCAAACCGAUGCUUUUCCCACAUCCUGAUGGCUCCCUGUAACGUAAGUGUUUGACAAG
RNAcentral lists this long non-coding RNA (259 nucleotides) under Fukomys damarensis (Damara mole-rat). Its description in RNAcentral is "lncRNA (ENSFDAG00000022143.1)". Lineage: Eukaryota; Metazoa; Chordata; Mammalia; Rodentia; Bathyergidae. The record is from RNAcentral.